AAGACUAUAGACCUGCGGAGUACCUGCGGAAGGAUCAUUAAAGAGAAAACUGCCCUUUGGGUAGAUCUCCCACCCUUUGUUUACCUUACCUUUGUUGCUUUGGCAGGCCCGUCUUCUGACCACCGGCUUUUAGCUGGUCCGUGCCUGCCAGAGGACCCCCAACUCUUGAUUUCAAGUUGUCCGAGUCUUAUAUAAUAGUAAAAACUUUCAACAAUGGAUCUCUAGAUCGGAAGAGCACAC
RNAcentral lists this unclassified non-coding RNA (240 nucleotides) under soil metagenome. RNAcentral describes it as "partial contains 5.8S ribosomal RNA, internal transcribed spacer 2, and large subunit ribosomal RNA". The record is from RNAcentral.